RNAcentral lists this long non-coding RNA (1683 nucleotides) under Homo sapiens (human). RNAcentral describes it as "HSALNT0295507". Lineage: Eukaryota; Metazoa; Chordata; Mammalia; Primates; Hominidae. The record is from RNAcentral.
GAUGCGGAAACCGAGACGGGCUGGAUGGAAAACUCUUUCCAGACAGACUCCGGGGCCCUCAACUGGUCUCCGACCUUCCCCUGCAACCUGCGACACCUGCCAUUUUCCCAUCUUAGGCUCCAGAAGCAGAAUCAAGUGGGAUGUCUUGGAAGAAAAACAAACAAAAGGCCCACUAGGUGGAGUGAAAUGGAUCAGGAGCAAUUAUGUUCAAUUUCACCUUUAAGUUUUCUCAAAAGGAGGAGCAUUAAGAAUCAGCCACCUUAGUACAUACUUAAAGAUUUACUGAAACCUGAUCCUGUCCCCGCUGAUGAAACAUCAGAGGAAUGGGAUCCUGUAGGUGAAGAUCAUCAGCUUAUAAAAUCCUGUUGCCAUCAAUGGGGGUAGCAGGAAAAUGAUGAAGAUUGGUUAAGGGGCCAGUGGACUCAGCAUUGAAAUGAAUCAUGGACUUGAAGCCAAAAGACUCAGUUUGUGUCCCAGCUCUCUCAAGCAAAGCCCCCAAGUCCCAGUUUCCUCAUCUAUAAAAAAUAAUAAAAAUACUUAAUGGACAAAGUUGUGUGGGAAUCAAAUGAGAUAAAGUAUGCGCUGCAUAUGCCCUAAAGUCUUAUUUAAAUAAAGGCAUUCUUUUCAUCUGAGAAAUUGAAGAAAAAGAUGCCCUGAACAAGAAAGACAGGAGAAAAGAUUUUUUUUUUUUUUAAUGAAGGAUAAAAUGAUGAAAUCCCCCCAGGUAUUGCUACAGAAAGGCCUUACCCAUGAGCUGUAGGCAUAUAUCCGGUCCUAAGGUCCAUUUUGGAGUAGCCCAGCACUCAGUCUGAAAGAUUGGACACUGAGAAAUAUGUGCAUCCCAUUUUUCUAACUAGCAGCAUUUUGAUCCUGUCUUAUUAUCCAUACCCAGGCUAGCACACAUGAUUUUUUCUGCUUGCACUUCAGGAGAAGAUAGUCAUUGGACAAAAGGUGGGUCAUUCUCACGUUGACCAAGUUUCUGUUCCAGUAUCACCCUCCCAGUCCACAGGUCGAGAGGAACCAUACUUGAAGAAACAUACCUGAAGGGUUUCAUCCAUAUGUGGGCCUGAUUUGGAUGAUAAAAUCCUGCAUCUUGAGCCUGAUCUUGAUGCUGCCUGUGUUCUGAUGCCAUCAGGAGUUGAGAGUCUAGGGGUUUUAGAAAGGGUGAAUGUAUUUUCCCAUAGGCAAGGAACAUAAUCAAUGGCCAAAAUGUGCACUGUGACAGAUUAAAGGUUGCUACAAAUUCUCUGAUACCCUUCCAUUAAGAGGUAGGGCAGAUAUUCCCUCCCCUCAAAUCUGGGUGGGCUCCAUGACUUGCUUUGAUCAACAGAAAACGGCAGCAGUGAUGCUGGGCCAGUUGUUGGAUCCAGGCCUUAAGAACCAACAACUUCCACUUAAGUUCUCUUGGAACACUGAGUCCCUGACUACCCUAAUAUCAUGUUGGAAAGGCUACAUGUAGGCACUCUAGUUGCCAGUCCCAGCCAAGACCAGCUUUUCAGCCAUCCCCAUCACUAAAUUUGUAAAUGAAGCCAUCUGGAAUCUCCAGACCAGCUCAUUUGGCAGCUGGGUAUCAUCAAGUUAUCUCUGCUGACUCCACAUGGAACAAAGGAAUCACCCAGCUGAGCCCUAUUCAAACUAUUGACCAAAAAAAUAGUGAGACAUAAUAAAAUGAUGUUUUAAGCC